RNAcentral lists this long non-coding RNA (712 nucleotides) under Panax ginseng (ginseng). Its description in RNAcentral is "long non-coding RNA (PGIN_LNC012047)". Lineage: Eukaryota; Viridiplantae; Streptophyta; Magnoliopsida; Apiales; Araliaceae. The record is from RNAcentral.
UUAUUCAGCUUAAAGAAAUGGUAUCGUGGAGAACCGAGUUCGGGUUUCAAGUAUCCGGAUUUGGGGUCGCCACAAAUCCUAACUAUACCUAAUAUGAAAAAUAAUCUAUUAGACUAUUACUAUUAUAGUAUUAACCUUAACCAAUGCAUCAAGUGAUCGAACCAACGAAUUUGGCCUCUCAGCUAUAAGCCCCUCCAAUAAGCAUCAAAAAAAUUCGAAAUUUCAAAACACAAUUGCUUAAUUUUUGAUUCUAUAAUCUCUAACAAUCUUCUUUUAAUUGGUGAAAAAAUGACAAUGCAAGAUUGGAGUUUUCUCUGAGCGUGUUCAAGUAAAAAAUAAAUUUAGAAUUUACUAGAGAUAAUAUACACAUACACACAGUGCGGUUUUAGUUUUAUACGUGCGGUUUUGGCUAGUAACCAAAUUGGAACCGUAAAUUUGGUUAUUUAAUCCAUCUAAAACCGUCACAUACAUCUAAAUCGUUGAUGUAAUUUUAAUUAAUGUGGAUGGUAUAAUUUUUAGUAUAAUUUUGAUUCCAAUUUAAUUACUUGGCCCUUAAUUCUGUUGGUAUCUGCUUUUUGGUAUUCUAUGAGUACGAAUUUAGCAAAGUACCAAUAAAUGCAGUACAUACAUAAAGCAUAUUUAAUUUAAACGCCCAUACUGGAGAAUGUUCCUGAAACUAGUACUACUAAUCUAGUAUAUUUUAUUAUAUAAA